GAUGAACGCUGGCGGCGUGCCUAAUACAUGCAAGUCGAGCGAACAGAUGAGGAGCUUGCUCCUCUGACGUUAGCGGCGGACGAGUGAGUAACACGUGGAUAACCUACCUAUAAGACUGGGAUAACUUCGGGAAACCGGGGCUAAUACCGGAUAAUAUAUUGAACCGCAUGGUUCAAUAGUGAAAGACGGUUUUGCUGUCACUUAUAGAUGGAUCCGCGCCGCAUUAGCUAGUUGGUAAGGUAACGGCUUACCAAGGCAACGAUGCGUAGCCGACCUGAGAGGGGGAUCGGCCACACUGGAACUGAGACACGGUCCAGACUCCUACGGGAGGCAGCAGUAGGGAAUCUUCCGCAAUGGGCGAAAGCCUGACGGAGCAACGCCGCGUGAGUGAUGAAGGUCUUCGGAUCGUAAAACUCUGUUAUUAGGGAAGAACAAAUGUGUAAGUAACUAUGCACGUCUUGACGGUACCUAAUCAGAAAGCCACGGCUAACUACGUG
This 497-nucleotide ribosomal RNA is filed under the name uncultured bacterium. Its description in RNAcentral is "partial 16S ribosomal RNA". It matches the Rfam family "Bacterial small subunit ribosomal RNA", at positions 28 to 507 of the family's 1533-position model. The record is from RNAcentral.